CAUCUUCACGCUCAUUCCCCUUGCUCACCCACUCCCCCAAAUCCCUAGCCCGCGGCGGCGAUGCACCUCCCCCUCACAUGCAUCGGCGAUGCACCUCCCCCUCACCUGCAUUUGCGACUCAGCCACGUCGCUGCCCUUCUUCCCCCACGUCGCCUCCUCGCAUUCUCGUCCGCGUCGCCUCUUCCUCUCACCCGCAUCCUCUGCAUCACAGUCGAGCCAAAGUUAGUUGUUUUAGUGAGGUCGAGUUGGAGCCUGACGAGCACAGGCACGGCGGCCUUGUUCUGCUCAACGACAGCGGCGACGGACGCUGGCACUCCUCGUCGCCAUCGACCUACAAGGAGGAGCGUCGUGUUGGACACUGCCAUCCCAAACGCUGCUGGUGCUUCAUCACUUCUACGAGUCCCUCGUCACCUGCUCCUAGGUCGCCCCCGAAGUCGAGCUCCCCACGCUCGACCUGCAAGAUGUACUGUGGACAAGAACUGCUCUCUGCCGCGUGAGUAGAUUGGAAAGGCAAGGCGCAAGGAGCGAUUGGAAAGGAUGCUGCUGCUCCUGGAUGAUGCAACUCCUGAUACCACUACCUCUUGUCGAUUCGGGCAUGAGCACAUUCUUGGAGUGGAUCUGCAUUUCAAAUAGUUUACAAGUGGGAGUACAUGGAUUACUACAGAUUAAAUCGAGGGGAAGAUGGUCCCUGCUCCGUGAUGAUGCCGCCGUUACCUACGACUUCCUCAACCACCACCACCACGACUUCAUCGAACAUGGUGGUAUCUUUCCGAUCAAGAUUUUGGAGUACAGAGAAAGAAGACUAUGGUGGUACUACUCCUAGCAGGACAUACAUUAGUACAUGAAAAGAAGAACAGUUUAAGAACAUAGCAGAAACUGAAUGAGGCAAUGCAUCAUGAACUGAACAAGAUCUGAUUCUCUCCGUCUUGAUCCAAAUAGAGAAAAGAGGGAAGAUGAACCUGAGGGAGGAAUUCGAUCGCAUGGUGAUAUACAGGAUCGCCGGCGUCUGCUAAACGGGAUCAUGGCGCCGUCUCCUGCAGCGAUCCUGAAGCAGAUCGUAUGAUGGACGGGUGGCGGCUUUGAUGUACGAGGGCUGCGGCGAAGGUUAGGAUCGGCCGCGGCACAGGGAUGGAUCGGCCGCGACGGGGGCGAAGGUGUGGAUCGGGCGUGCGAAGGGCUGGUUGGCGGCGGAGAACGAUCUACUGUGGGCACGAGGGAUCGAUCGUAGGUUUUUUUUGGCACCGGUUUUUUUCGCAGGAGGGUUGCGAGUUAACGGAGGUGGGAGGAUGACGAAAAUAAAACGGAGGCGGGAGGAUGACGAAAAAACUAGCGAAAAUAAACCACGCAGACUAUUCACCAACUGCUUCAUUAGGAGUAGAGAUAUGUCGAGAUGCCAUGCCCAUCUAUUAUUAAUACAUAUUCCAUCUGACAUCAUACCAUAUGUUUCCAAUCAAAUGUUGUUCUUGUGCAUCAGACAUCGAAAAGGAAGAGGGUGAUUGCCGAACCUGAAGGAGUACCAGCAAAGUCCUUGAAAAACAUGGUGGUGCCGGAGAAAUCAGAAAGCACCCCACUUUUAUUGGUUGUACAACCAGUGACACAAAACGUAGGACCGACUCCAGCACACUAUACCCAUACUUCACUGUCCACACCACUAGCCUCACCAUACAGGACCUGCACUCCAGCAAAAGGUAUACCGAUUUAAUUUGCCAUAGCACUAGUUAUACCACAGAAAAAUCCCACUCCAGCAAAAAGUCCAGUAAGUCCAUCGGCCGAAGACCUAUCCCAACUACAGAGACGGCCAAUUCUUGCAGAUUGGAAACACAUUCCACUUAUUCCCAAUUUAAAAGACAAUGCUUUCAAUGUUGUUAGGGACUACGUGCAUAUAUUCCAAUCAUGGGAAGAUUAUUGUGAAGACAAACACCAUUUUCACAUCUUGUCCAACUUCCGGGCGAUGGUCAAUCUGGAUAGUCAUGACGAGCAAAGUUUGCUUGUGCUUUUCAAGGAAGCAUUGCAGUAGUAUCGGUGUUACCUGAGAAAUCACACUUUAAUGGCAAGUGUGUAAACGAAUUUCCGGUGAAGUCUCAUGUGCUGAAUUUAGAAGACAUUGAAUGGAAAAACCUUGUUUUGCACUGGUCUCGUUCCCAGGAUGAGUUAAUCUGCUCGAAGAAGAAUUACGGUUUGACAAGAACGACAGGAUAUCGCAAAUAUGCCGCCCGCUGCUUUGCUCUUAAUAAAGACAAUGUUUUUGAAGAAGAUUCUGUAGUAAACUUCUUGAGUUGCCCUCCCCCCCCAUCAGCAUGGACAAGGUCUUUAUAGAGCCUGUCUUCACCAAUAAUGUAAGUUUGUCCAUCUCAAGCCUUCAAACUUUGUUGUAUAUAUUUGGUUAGGCAUGACUGCAACAGCUGUUUAUUUUUGGUGUUUGCAUAAAAUUGUUUGUUUAAAGUUUAUUAUAUGUAGCUC
Long non-coding RNA from Triticum aestivum (bread wheat), 2460 nucleotides. RefSeq lists it as uncharacterized. The transcript is spliced from 8 exons. The record is from RefSeq and is a predicted model, not a curated record. NCBI's taxonomy places the organism in Eukaryota, Viridiplantae, Streptophyta, Magnoliopsida, Poales, Poaceae.